ACACCUCAACUCUUCAUGGUUUUCCAUGAUGAGCUUGGACUUUGGGGGUCUUGCUGGCCUGCGGUCGGCUCCUCUCAAAUGAAUCAGCUUGCCAGUGUUUGGUGGGCAUCACAGGUGUGAUAACUAUCUACGCUUGUGGUUUUCCACCAGGUAACCUUCAGCAGUGGAGGUUCACUGGAGCUCACAGACGUCUCUCCUCAGUGAGGACGACAGCCCUUUGAAU
RNAcentral lists this unclassified non-coding RNA (223 nucleotides) under uncultured Thelephoraceae. RNAcentral describes it as "sequence contains ITS2". Lineage: Eukaryota; Fungi; Basidiomycota; Agaricomycetes; Thelephorales; Thelephoraceae. The record is from RNAcentral.